Molecule: ribosomal RNA, 510 nt
Filed under: uncultured bacterium
Lineage: Bacteria
Description: partial 16S ribosomal RNA
Rfam family: Bacterial small subunit ribosomal RNA
Source: RNAcentral
GACGAACGCUGGCGGCGUGCUUAACACAUGCAAGUCGAACGAAGAGCGACGGAAGCUUGCUUCUAUCAAUCUUAGUGGCGAACGGGUGAGUAACGCGUAAUCAACCUGCCCUUCAGAGGGGGACAACAGUUGGAAACGACUGCUAAUACCGCAUACGAUCUAAUCUCGGCAUCGAGGAUGGAUGAAAGGUGGCCUCUACAUGUAAGCUAUCACUGAAGGAGGGGAUUGCGUCUGAUUAGCUAGUUGGAGGGGUAACGGCCCACCAAGGCGAUGAUCAGUAGCCGGUCUGAGAGGAUGAACGGCCACAUUGGGACUGAGACACGGCCCAGACUCCUACGGGAGGCAGCAGUGGGGAAUCUUCCGCAAUGGACGAAAGUCUGACGGAGCAACGCCGCGUGAGUGAUGACGGCCUUCGGGUUGUAAAGCUCUGUUAAUCGGGACGAAAGGUCUUCUUGCGAAUAGUGAGAAGGAUUGACGGUACCGGAAUAGAAAGCCACGGCUAACUACGUG